UCCGCUUCCUAGAGAAAUGGAACCCUGAUUCUAAGGCGACUAACGCAGGAAUGGCAAACCCAGAGAAUGCAUUCAAUCAAAUGAACCGAUCUUGUAGAAACACUGGAAUCAUUUAUGCAUUGCAGUUUCCCUUUCUUGUUUUCGCUCCUUCUUUCCUGGGAUAUUUUGAGUGGAUUGUGGCUAUUAAUCAAGAUCUCGUGCUAUUCGUGGUUUGCUUGUCGUUUUCGCUCAGGAUUAGCAUCAUUCAAGGCAAACGCAAAGCUGGGUUUUUUUCCCCUACUCUUUUCUGAAAAAUCAUUUUUGGGGGCUGCUGAAGAGAGCUAGGACCCAGGAGACACCUUCCCAAACAGCAGGGGUUGUGUGCUUUCACACAGCAGUACUGUACAAGGAAAACCCCGUCGGAUCUGUUAUUGCGGGAUACUUGUGAAAUAUACAUAGGAUUCUUUCUUAUGGCUGCAUCCCGGAUCUGGAAAUUUUACUUGGGGACCAAGAGGAUCUGAAGGGCUACAUGUAUACAGAAGAUUUGCAAGCAAGACUCCGAUUCUUGUCAUAGAGCUCUCAGACUUCCUCACUUACCGGCCUUUUUCCUUCCUCCUUUUUAAAAAAAAUUCUUCCCUCUUUUUCUGCUCUCUCCUCUCUCAGUGUCUCCUUCUCUAUCUGCCUCUUCUUUUUUCUCCUAGUCGUCUUUCCCCCCCCCUGCUCUGCACCUGGAUUGUAUCUUCACCAAACAAUCGGGCACUUUGAGAACUAACUGGAGGCAGUCUUGUAGGGAAGAGCUGUAUGGAAUUAUCUGCUUUUAUGGUGAACUUGGCAUUUGUGAAUGGGUAUCUUGUUCACGAUAUUAAUUGCUAGCAAAAACAAGAAAAAGAACACAGGAGUAAAACGUGGAUUUUUCUGAAUACGCAUUGUGAUGACCAGCAAUUACCUUGCCGACUGAUAUCCAGAGGAGAAUAAUUUGGAAGACUGUUGUGGGUAAGGUCAUUUUAUAUAUGCAAACCCAUCAGUGGCGUGAGCAAACUUGGGCAUCUGUAAUGGGAAUGGGUGACUUGGAUGAUUGCUGCAUCGCAUUGAUGGCUGUGAUGUGGCCGUUAUUGGCACUGAAUGGAAUAACUGCAGUUGGGUGUGUUGGUGUGUGUGCGUGUGCGUUUGUGUGUGUGUGUAUGUAGGUCUGUAUUCUGAGUGUAAUUGAAAAUAAAUCAAAGCAUCACUUCCCCCUCCAAUUAUUUUGAUAUGGAAGAGUGUCUUGAAUUAAUUCCGGGUAGACACUCUAUUGUUUGGAUGCAAUAUUUGUGGCUCCUGUGUUCUGGAAGGGGUAGCAGCAGUGAAAGGAACACUUACUGAAGAGCCCUAUUUAAAAUGAAACGAGCUACUCUUUAUUCAUUAAAAGAAAUAUGUUUUCAACUCAGUGCAGCAUUCUGCUGCAUUUCACAGCCGCAAUGGGACCAGGGACAUCCCACUUGUCAAGUUCCUAAACUUUAAGGUGAUAAUCACCAUUAAUUAUUCUCUCGGUUGUGAUUAUUGGAGAUUAUUAAGUACCCUUCGCUACUUUUUUAUCCACUGGAUUACCGUUCGGAAUGAAAAGAAAAGAAAAAGCUGAGAAUGAUGAGCAAAAAUAGAGAGUCAUGCAAUAUCAUUUUAAAUAUCACCAAAUGCUUUCUUUCUCAAGUUCAAUAGCCCAAUAAUAUAAUUAUUUACCUAAUACCCUAAAUAGCUGAAGCUGCGACCCACGUGCAGGGGAGUUGAAGGUCUGGAAGCAGAGACCAUCCUUUUAUUGCAAUGCAGCCAGCUUUGGAAAUGCAGGCAAUUACACACUUCCCUUAACCUUAAGUUCAGGAUGUGUCCUAUCUGCUACAUCUAUUUUACCCUUUCAGUAAAAAGUUAGAGACUAGAGCACGAAGGAUGUUUAAGCAUAUUCUGCCUGGGAAAUGGGAUAAAAAAAUCAAUAUUGAUGACGUGGUUCAGUGCACUGUACUGCAAUGCUAAAGUCCCAUAUUCAGUACCUAUGAUGAGAGAAUGGAGCAUUUACAUGUGUUAUAAAUCUCACCUGGUAGAUUGAUCUGAAGGGGAGGGGAGAAGAUAUGUGGAUAUGUAGGAAGAUGGAUGGAAGUCGUGCAUAAUCGGUGAUUAUGUAACUUCAUUACAUCAGCGAGCUUCAGUCAACGAUAGUGAGAUGAAAUGAUUGUAUAGAGGGAGGCUCCAUCACCUUGUUAACUUUUGAAGGCUUGAAACAGCUAACAGAGGAGGAGGCGGGCAGACAGAGAUUAGCUCCAAGGGUCCUGUAAACCCUGAUCUCUGUGGCAAAUGUAGCAUGAGUUUUCUCAUAGUGAGUUUCUGAGGGACAGCACGUCUAUGCAAGCUGUAGAGCUGGACAGGAGCAAUUUUAGCCACACCCGUGGAGAGUCAAAAUGAGUCCGCAAUGUUUCACAAGUGCCCCAUCGAGUAAUUGGGGCUGAUGAUCCCAGCCAAGGUCAUAGUUCUGUACCCUAUGAUUGACAUGCAUGACUCCAACUGAUCAGAAAGUUAAAUCGGUAGAAAUGAAGACUGCGAACAGAAUGACUAUUCGGGGUCCUCUUGCAUUUUCCCUAGUAGAGCUUAAUGCAGAUUUCAGCCUGGUGUUUCCCUCAUAAAAAAAAAAAAAAAAAAAAAAA
This 2648-nucleotide long non-coding RNA is filed under the name Canis lupus familiaris (dog). RNAcentral describes it as "lncRNA (ENSCAFG00845030922.1)". Lineage: Eukaryota; Metazoa; Chordata; Mammalia; Carnivora; Canidae. The record is from RNAcentral.